RNAcentral lists this ribosomal RNA (1503 nucleotides) under uncultured bacterium. Its description in RNAcentral is "bacterial SSU rRNA". It matches the Rfam family "Bacterial small subunit ribosomal RNA". The record is from RNAcentral.
AGAGUUUGAUCCUGGCUCAGAUUGAACGCUGGCGGCAGGCCUAACACAUGCAAGUCGAACGGUAACAGGAAGUAGCUUGCUACUUUGCUGACGAGUGGCGGACGGGUGAGUAAUGUCUGGGAAACUGCCUGAUGGAGGGGGAUAACUACUGGAAACGGUAGCUAAUACCGCAUAACGUCGCAAGACCAAAGAGGGGGACCUUCGGGCCUCUUGCCAUCAGAUGUGCCCAGAUGGGAUUAGCUAGUAGGUGGGGUAACGGCUCACCUAGGCGACGAUCCCUAGCUGGUCUGAGAGGAUGACCAGCCACACUGGAACUGAGACACGGUCCAGACUCCUACGGGAGGCAGCAGUGGGGAAUAUUGCACAAUGGGCGCAAGCCUGAUGCAGCCAUGCCGCGUGUAUGAAGAAGGCCUUCGGGUUGUAAAGUACUUUCAGCGGGGAGGAAGGCGGUGAGGUUAAUAACCUCACCGAUUGACGUUACCCGCAGAAGAAGCACCGGCUAACUCCGUGCCAGCAGCCGCGGUAAUACGGAGGGUGCAAGCGUUAAUCGGAAUUACUGGGCGUAAAGCGCACGCAGGCGGUCUGUCAAGUCGGAUGUGAAAUCCCCGGGCUCAACCUGGGAACUGCAUUCGAAACUGGCAGGCUAGAGUCUUGUAGAGGGGGGUAGAAUUCCAGGUGUAGCGGUGAAAUGCGUAGAGAUCUGGAGGAAUACCGGUGGCGAAGGCGGCCCCCUGGACAAAGACUGACGCUCAGGUGCGAAAGCGUGGGGAGCAAACAGGAUUAGAUACCCUGGUAGUCCACGCCGUAAACGAUGUCGAUUUGGAGGUUGUGCCCUUGAGGCGUGGCUUCCGGAGCUAACGCGUUAAAUCGACCGCCUGGGGAGUACGGCCGCAAGGUUAAAACUCAAAUGAAUUGACGGGGGCCCGCACAAGCGGUGGAGCAUGUGGUUUAAUUCGAUGCAACGCGAAGAACCUUACCUGGUCUUGACAUCCACAGAACUUAGCAGAGAUGCUUUGGUGCCUUCGGGAACUGUGAGACAGGUGCUGCAUGGCUGUCGUCAGCUCGUGUUGUGAAAUGUUGGGUUAAGUCCCGCAACGAGCGCAACCCUUAUCCUUUGUUGCCAGCGGUUAGGCCGGGAACUCAAAGGAGACUGCCAGUGAUAAACUGGAGGAAGGUGGGGAUGACGUCAAGUCAUCAUGGCCCUUACGACCAGGGCUACACACGUGCUACAAUGGCGCAUACAAAGAGAAGCGACCUCGCGAGAGCAAGCGGACCUCAUAAAGUGCGUCGUAGUCCGGAUUGGAGUCUGCAACUCGACUCCAUGAAGUCGGAAUCGCUAGUAAUCGUAGAUCAGAAUGCUACGGUGAAUACGUUCCCGGGCCUUGUACACACCGCCCGUCACACCAUGGGAGUGGGUUGCAAAAGAAGUAGGUAGCUUAACCUUCGGGAGGGCGCUUACCACUUUGUGAUUCAUGACUGGGGUGAAGUCGUAACAAGGUAACC